CCUACGGGCGGCUGCAGUGGGGAAUAUUGGACAAUGGGGGCAACCCUGAUCCAGCCAUGCCGCGUGUGUGAAGAAGGCCCUCGGGUUGUAAAGCACUUUCAGUGAGGAAGAACGCCUGGUGGUUAAUACCCAUCAGGAAAGACAUCACUCACAGAAGAAGCACCGGCUAACUCCGUGCCAGCAGCCGCGGUAAUACGGAGGGUGCGAGCGUUAAUCGGAAUUACUGGGCGUAAAGCGCGCGUAGGUGGCUUGAUAAGCUGGUUGUGAAAGCCCCGGGCUCAACCUGGGAACGGCAUCCGGAACUGUCAAGCUAGAGUGCAGGAGAGGAAGGUAGAAUUCCCGGUGUAGCGGUGAAAUGCGUAGAGAUCGGGAGGAAUACCAGUGGCGAAGGCGGCCUUCUGGACUGACACUGACACUGAGGUGCGAAAGCGUGGGUAGCAAACAGGAUUAGAUACCCUAGUAGUC
RNAcentral lists this ribosomal RNA (465 nucleotides) under Vreelandella stevensii. Its description in RNAcentral is "partial 16S ribosomal RNA". It matches the Rfam family "Bacterial small subunit ribosomal RNA", at positions 338 to 795 of the family's 1533-position model. The record is from RNAcentral. Lineage: Bacteria; Pseudomonadati; Pseudomonadota; Gammaproteobacteria; Oceanospirillales; Halomonadaceae.